This 1928-nucleotide unclassified non-coding RNA is filed under the name Nilaparvata lugens (brown planthopper). RNAcentral's name for it is "gastrula zinc finger protein XlCGF57.1-like, transcript variant X11". The record is from RNAcentral. Lineage: Eukaryota; Metazoa; Arthropoda; Insecta; Hemiptera; Delphacidae.
UAUUGGAUUUUAUGUGUAUUUGUUGCAGAUGGCGACAGUUACUGUUAAAAAGGAAGAAGAGGAGGAUGAGGUUGAUAGCAGCCAGCAACCAGAUGCAUUGGAAGAUGAUUGCAGCCAACAAAAUUAUCUAAUCCCUGGCUACAACAUGAUCUUCAUCAAAGAGGGUCCAUAUGAUGAUGAGCAAGAGGCUGGAGGAAGUGCAGUGAAGAGUGAACCAGAGAUGUGGCAUUCAAACUGCAGCACAUCUGGCCAAGACUACACAACAGAAGAGGGUGGACUGAUUGAGCAUUCAAUCUCUCCAAUGGAAAAGUGCACUGAGUCAUCUGUGGCUGGCAAAAAGAUCAAGCUCUACAGCUGUGCUCACUGUAGCUAUGAAACACCAAAUUCUGCUAAUUUGAAGAGACACAUUCGGAAACACACUGGAGAAACACCUUUCAGCUGCGAGUUUUGUGACUACAAAACUGCUCGUUCUUGUCUUUUGAAAGAACAUAUAACAACACAUACUGGAGAAAAACCUUACAUCUGUGACUUUUGCAACUACAAAAGUGCUAAGUUGAAUAGUUUGAAGAGACACAUCAGAACACAUACUGGAGAAAAACCUUUUAGCUGUGAGUUAUGUGACUUCAAAAGUUCUCAGUUAUAUCAUUUGAAAAGUCAUAUGAGCACACAUACUGGAGAAAAACCAUUCAGCUGCGAGCUUUGUGACUUCAAAAGUGCUAGUUCAAGUAGUUUGAAAAGACACCACAUCAGAACACAUACUGGAGAAAAACCUUUCAGCAUGGAGUUUUGUGACCUCAAAAGUGAUACGUUGGGUAAUUCGAAAGCACAUACCAGAACACAUGCAGCAGAAAAUCUUUUCAAUGAAUUAUGGAUUAUUUCAGAUCAUCAAGAGGCUGAAGGAAGUGCAGGGAAGAGCGAACCAGAGAUGUGGCCUCCAAUCUGCAGCACAUCUGGCCAAGACUACACAACAGAAGUGGGUGGACUGAAUGAGCAUUCAAUCUCUCCAGUGGAAAAGUGCACUGAGUCAUCUGUGGCUGGCAAAAAGACCAAGCUCUACAGCUGUGCUCACUGUAGCUAUGAAACACCAAAUUCUUCUAGUUUGAAGAGACACAUUCGGAAACACACUGGAGAAAAACCUUUCAGUUGCGAGUUUUGUGACUACAAAACUGCUCGUUCUUGUCUUUUGAAAGUACAUGUAACAACACAUACUGGAGAAAAACCUUACAGCUGUGACUCUUGUGACUUCAAAAGUGCUAAGUCAGAUAGCUUGAAGAGACAUAUCAGAACACAUACUGGAGAAAAACCUUUUAGCUGUGAGUUAUGUGACUUCAAAAGUUCUCAGUUGAGUCAUUUGAAAAGUCAUUUGAUCACACACACUGGAGAAAAACGUUUCAGCUGCGAGCUUUGUGACUUCAAAACUGCCAAGUUAGGUAAUUUGAAAAGACACCACAUCAGAACACAUACUGGAGAAAAAAACCUUUCAGCAUGGAGUUUUGUGACCUCAAAAGUGCUACAUUAGGUGGCUGAUGGAGGAAUCUCAUUGACUUGGGCUGCAAUGGAUGCUGGAAGGCAGCGGCCCCAAUACAAUGAUACGAAUCUUGGACGUGGAUGACCGCGCAGAGGAAUAUGAGGAAACUUGUACUGCUUGAGAAGACUUCGUCUCCAAUCUUCAGCGGUGGAUUACUUCACAUCUUGAUAUCGUGUAUCUAUCACCAAUCGACAAAUUUCUGCAGGAAAGGGAAUCGCCAGUCAACAUAGACUCUGGAAUUUAAUAUUAAAUUUCAAUAUGACUUAUGUGUUACGACAAAGACAAUAAACUGACAAAGACAAUAAAUUGAGUAAUUAAACAUUUUAUGUUUUUUCAUUCAUCUUUUUAUUUUUGUUUUAUGAUUUGUUUAUUUGUUAUUAAACGUUAUUAUUUUCUGUUU